GAUGAACGCUGGCGGCGUGCUUAACACAUGCAAGUCGAACGGAAAGGCCCAAGCUUGCUUGGGUACUCGAGUGGCGAACGGGGGAGUAACACGUGGGUGAUCUGCCCUGCACUUCGGGAUAAGCCUGCGAAACUGGGUCUAAUACCGGAUAGGACGAGGCUUUGGAUUCCAUUGUGGAAAGCUUUUACGGUGUGGGAUUGGCUCGCGGCGUAUAAGCUUGUUGGUGGUGGAGUGGCCUAGCACGGCGUCGACGGGGAGCCGUCCUGAGAGGGUGUACGUACACACUGGGACCCUGCUGCGGCCCACAGUCCGACGUGAGGCAGAAGGGGGGCAUAUCGCACCCAGGGAGACAGCCUGAUGGAGGGACGCCGUGUGGGGGUUGAGGGCCUUUGGGUUGUAAAAAACUCUCGCGGGUGACGCCGCGUUUUUGUGACGGUACCUGGAGAAGAAGCACCGGCUAACUACGUG
RNAcentral lists this ribosomal RNA (468 nucleotides) under uncultured bacterium. Its description in RNAcentral is "partial 16S ribosomal RNA". It matches the Rfam family "Bacterial small subunit ribosomal RNA", at positions 28 to 507 of the family's 1533-position model. The record is from RNAcentral.